AAGUCGUAACAAGGUUUCCGUAGGUGAACCUGCGGAAGGAUCAUUAAUGAGUGUGAAACCUCCCCGUAAAAAGGGGGGUUACCCUCCAGUCCUUUUGCUGGGCCCCCUUAUUUUUGGGGGGGCUUUUAUAACUUUCUGCUUCGGCGGGGUUUUUUUACCCGCCGGAACAACCUCAAAAUUCUUGAUUUGAAAUUGUACAGUCCGAGAAUUUUAUUUUAAAUGCUAAAAAACUUUCAACAACGGAUCUCUUGGUUCUGGCAUCGAUGAAGAACGCAGCGAAAUGCGAUAAGUAAUGUGAAUUGCAGAAUUCAGUGAAUCAUCGAAUCUUUGAACGCAUAUUGCACCCUCUGGUAUUCCGGGGGGUACACCUGUUCGAGCGCCAUUACAACCCCUCAAGUAUUACUUGGUGUUGGGUGAAGUCCUUGGGGGACCCACCCGUAACUUGUAGGCGGUUACAGCCCUCUCCCUCAGCGUAGCAGGCUUACGCACUCGCUCGGGGAAGGUAUGUAACCAGCUUGACAAUAAAUUUUCAAGGUUUGGCCUCGGAUCAGGUGGGGAUACCCGCUGAACUUAA
This 574-nucleotide ribosomal RNA is filed under the name uncultured fungus. RNAcentral describes it as "eukaryotic LSU rRNA". The stretch from base 229 to 382 matches the Rfam family "5.8S ribosomal RNA". Lineage: Eukaryota; Fungi. The record is from RNAcentral.